CACGUAGGGGCCAAGCGUUGUCCGGAUUUAUUGGGCGUAAAGAGCUCGUAGGCGGUUGGGUAAGUCGGGUGUGAAAACUCCAGGCUCAACUUGGAGACGCCACCCGAUACUGCUCUGACUUGAGUUCGGUAGGGGAGUGGGGAAUUCCUGGUGUAGCGGUGAAGUGCGCAGAUAUCAGGAGGAACACCGGUGGCGAAGGCGCCACUCUGGGCCGAAACUGACGCUGAGGAGCGAAAGCGUGGGUAGCAAACAGG
RNAcentral lists this ribosomal RNA (254 nucleotides) under uncultured bacterium. Its description in RNAcentral is "partial 16S ribosomal RNA". It matches the Rfam family "Bacterial small subunit ribosomal RNA", at positions 524 to 776 of the family's 1533-position model. The record is from RNAcentral.